Acinonyx jubatus (cheetah) is the source of this 2122-nucleotide long non-coding RNA. RefSeq lists it as uncharacterized. The record is from RefSeq and is a predicted model, not a curated record. Lineage: Eukaryota; Metazoa; Chordata; Mammalia; Carnivora; Felidae. The transcript is spliced from 4 exons.
CUCCAUUUUAAGUCGGGCUUGCAGACAGUGUGCCUUCUGGCAGGUUCUGCUUUGGAAGAGAAGUGGUUAACAAUAUUAUCCGACAAAAAGACCCCUGGUGCACAGUGGUUUGUUUUUAUUUUUGUUUUUGUUUUGUUUUGCGUAGGGCUUGUUCCCGUAGUCCCUGGCUCAUUUCUGCACUAUAUCUCCUUUUUGGGGAGUGGGGUGGGGCCUCAGGGCCUGAGGGGUCCAGAAGAAGAAAGGAAGCAGAGAGGAUCCUGGAGAUUUUCUGCGAGACAGCUGGAGGAAAUCCUGUGUACUCUGCAUUCAACAUGAUUCCCAAACAAAGUGGAUCUGAACUGAUGCCUUUCUGGGGGAAGAGCCUAUUUUCCAUCUGGGAAAGUGCCUCUUUGUGUGGUGUGAGGAAACAGCAGUCCAUAGUACCUCAGGCAGCUUGUGAGGACCAGCCUUCUUACCAGAUCAAGUUUUCACUCCACAGACCUGCCUUUCUCUCAAGGAACCCCUCCAGAGUGGAGCCCCACCCUUCCCAGCUUGGGUUGAUUCGUUGCGUGAUUCUGCAGGUGGAUUAGCAGGAAUAAUGGACUUAAUAGCCACCACCUAUGUGCAAGGGUCUUUGGGACUGCAUUGGACUGAUUGAAGUGCCUACCUCAAUCGGCAAAUGCAAAUUGCAAUCAAGAAAAGAAUCCAGAACUCAGGGCAAGAGAUGCAGAGACAAACAUCAGAACAGAGACAUGAGGCAAAACCAGGUAUAAGAAAUCAUUCAAGAAAGAAAAGAGAAAUCAUUCCGUGUCAGAAGCCAAUAUCAUCAGAAGCAGCUCAUAUAUACUGUGUCGUUUUUCCCAAGGAAGGAACCAUGAAGGAAGGGGAAUGUCUGCUUGGGAUUGGAGCUCUUGAUAUUCCUGUCCCUUCUCAUGUUUAAGGUCCUGGGACUAAGAUCUGAGACUGCAGUCCAGGCCUCAGGAAACCUCUCAAGAUGCGGAUGCAGUCCCCACCAUGUGUCCUAAUUGUCUUGCUCUGGUGACCCUCGUUACCUCUCUGCCUCUUCACUUAGAUUCUUCAGGUCAGUUGUCCAGCUGGACUUUCUAUGUGGCUUUGUGCAUAAUAAACAUGGUCUGUGUCAUAUAGUUUUGGGAUCUCUGAUUUAGUAUAUCCUGCUUCAGCCCCAAAACGCCAAUAUCUAGGUGUUUAUCAAAGAGGAGAGUUAAAGUUAUAAAAAAGAAAUGACAAAAUGAAUAGAGGAUUGAUUACCUUCUUGUUACGUCCUUAAAAUGGUUGAAUGCAUUUGCAGAGUCACACUUGCAGUUAUCAUGAUCAGCGGCAGUUAAAAUGGUGUAAUGAACCCACAACUUUAUGACUGUAGCUCCAGAUGAACACGAUAGAUCACCCUACUGUACAAGAAACAGCACCCAAUUCAGCUGUGGUUUCCACUUACAGAAAUCUUCCUCAGAAAAGGAGCGGAGUCACUGCAGGGAAAUGCCAUUAAUGCUCACCCAAGUGAGAAGAAUCUAUAUCAUGGGGAGGGAAAUAGCCACAGAACACCAGAUGUUUGCUAAUUAUUUUCAAAUGAAAUUGACUAGACUAAGUUUUAAACAAAGAUAAUCUGAGAGGGUAAAAUAAUGUUAUUCUUCCCUUGACUUUUAUAAGUAGGGGUAAUUAAUCUAGCUGCAGUAUUGCCUCUGUCCAGUCCUAUCUCCAGUAAUUAAAUCCUUGCUUUUGACACAGGAGUUAUAUUCAGUGUCUGUAUGGCUGGGUACUGGUUAGCUCGGGAGUUUCUGCAAAGCUUCCCUUUCCUACCUCCCCUCUGUUCUCCCUAUGUAUAAACUGUUCCCCAUCUUACCUCCUUCUUCUUGGCCUGCUAUGUUUGAAUUCAAUGUAAAGUGGCUUAGAACUUCCCACCUCAAGACUGACUGAAGGGCACAUCAGAUGAUGUCUCCAGGAAUCUCCAAAUUAUUUGAGCCUGCAGGCCUCUAAAGGUUUGGGCAAGAACCCAGCAGUUUUGACAGGUGCAUCUCUACUCUUCUUGGGUUAUAAGCUAAUUCUGGAAAGCAUAGACCUUCAUUCACGAGGAACAAUAAGUGAAAACACUGAAGCAGAGCAAAAUUAAAGCUGUGUUUCAAAGGAA